GUGGGCCCAGUAGCAUGGACUCCCAUUUAUCAAAGCUCAUCUAGCUCCUGCUGCUCUAAAUGUCCAAUGUGCCAACAACAGAAACUGAGCCUCCAAUACAGCUCUAUUCCUAGAAGAGUCCAAUUAGCCACUUGGCAAGGUGACCACAGUGGCCCCUUCUGUCCACUUUGUCUGCACAGGAAUAAAUACCUAUCCUGGAUAUGGGUUUGCCUUUCCUGCCCACCGAGCCUCAGUCAGCCCCACUAUCUGGAAACUUACAGAAUGCCUGAUCUGUAGGCAUGAAAUCCCAUACAACACAGCAUCCGGUCAGCGAACCCACUGUGCAGUGAGGGAGGUGCAGAAAUGACCCCUUGGCUAUAGGAUCCACUGGUUGUACUAUGUACUACAAUAUCUAACAUUAGCUAAACUGAUAGAGAGAAGGCACAGCUGACACGCCAGCUUGUAAGCAAUACUCAGCAGGGAUGGGGCGCCAUCCUUCAGGGUACAGUGUAUACACCAAAUCAGAGACCUUCAGAUGUUAUGUCACUCAUAGGAAGAAUGCACGGGUCCAAGAACAAAGGGGUGGAAGCAAGAGUGGGCCCACUUAACAUCACUCGCAGUGACUCAUGGGGGAUCUUUGUGCUUCCCAACCUUACAACUUUGGGCUUUGCAGGGGUAGAAGUUCAGGUGCCCAAAGGGAGUGCACUUUUGCUAGGGGACAUACAACAGUACCACUGAAGUAUAAUCUAUGAAUGCUGAGUAGGCACUCCAGACUCCUGUGUCCAGGGACCAACAGGCGAGACGAGUCGUCAUCGUUCUGGCUGGAAUCAGCGACCCUGAGCAGCGGGAGGAGCUAAGGCUGCUCUUGCACAAGCAGGGCAGGCAGGCAGGGAGGAAAUGUGCACGUCCAGGCGAUCCCCUCCGUACCUCCGGGGAUUCUCUCUCCCAGUUCUAACUGUGGAUGGACAUACACAGCAGCCCCAGUCUGAAGGGUAUGAUUCCAAGGGCCUGGGCCCCUCUGGAAUGAAGCUGAGAUGCACCACCAGGGAAGCAAGCCGUCCACACCUGCACGGUGACAGCAUCGCAUGUGGAGACUCAAGAGUGGAUAGUGGAGGAGAGAGAAGAUAAACACAAGUUGUGGCCUCAAGACCAACUGCAGCAACAGGGGCUGUGGUUUGUGUUCCUCACCUUCCUCUUCUAAGGUCCCCCUCAGGAGGAGAAGUCCACUGGAAGCCUGGAAGAACCACACCCUGAAAAGGGAUGGAGAAGUCAGUCUCCGUGCUGCAGUCUGUGUAGACUGCGGUGGGAACCAUGUGGGUUCAUGCUUAGGGCUCCCUCCAGGAAUGAACCCACCGUGAGGAGAGCAGUGGGCUGGCGGCCGCAGGUGCUGUGUCUGGGAGCUACUGCACACUUCACACGGAAGGCCACCAGGGAUGGCGCAGAGCUGGCUGCGAAAGCUGAGCCAUCCUCGCCCCUCCCAGGACACCUCUGUCCGUCAGCGACUGCCGUGGACUUCCCCAUCAGGCUGGCCAGGACUGUCUCAGAGCCGCCCCGCUCUCGGAGGCUCUUCCUACCCCAUCCUCCUUGCCCAGGGCUCACACCAGCACUGCAAUGCGAAGACUCUCCCGGCCUCCUCUUCUCUCUGCCCUCUAUUCUGUACAGGCAUUUCCUUCAGUACAUCUCCUGCUCACCUAAUUCCAUCUCGGUGGCCUCUGCUUCCUGGUGGAUCUGAACUGACCCACGAACCAUGCUUGCUAGUUCUUUUCCAAGUAACCGUCUUCUUUCUUAAUUUUUCUUUUUCUUGAUGGAGAGUUUGAACACGGAAGGUUAAACAGACACCUACCUCAUAAGUACAGGUACCUGUGCUGGCCCAUUUACUGUAAUUCAGCUCUGCAGAGGAGUUACAGGAUGUGUCUGUGUCUUCUAGAACUUGUACCAAGGAAACAGAGCUCCAGUCUGUGUGUUUGCAGAAGCACAGGCUCACCUUCCAAGUUUUCCAGGCCUUCCUCUCUGGGUCCCUCCCGCCUGCCAGCUGGACUUUAGUGGUAGGCACUCUGUUUGUCACCUUUAAACCACAGCACUGCAAAUGCAAAAGAAAGACGUUUCCAGAAGAAUAGAAAUUCCUGGUUUAAGGGAGGCCCUUUUGAGUUCAGACGGAUGUGUGACAACGGACAGAAAGAGCAGUCUUGUUCCCAGACCCGCUCAUGAUGCGGCCCAAGCUGCAGCUUCAUGGAGCACAGGAGUAAACUGAGUGGGCAUCUUCCUCGGGGGGGAUGUGGUGGCCACUGGGGAGGUUCCCUUGCAAGCAAAUAAGUCUGGGUAGGAAAACACCGACAUGUGGGGUUCUUAUUGACUCUCCUACAAACCUCCCCCCGCUUCAGGCUGUGGGGAAAUAGAAAAGGCUGAGUGAAGGUAAAACCGGAGACUGUGCAAAGGCCUUCGCUGACGGGAGGAAGAGCGGGCUGGGUCUCUCGCGUGCCAGCGGCCUGCGGUGGAGGCUGUGAAGUUCGGCUUCCAAACGCCUUUGGCCAAGCUGCCCAGAGAGUCUAAGGGAGGAUCCAUUAGCAAGGAUGAGACUUACCGCCAGAUUACGUCGGUCCUUCCAGCUAAACAGACUGAGGCUUCUUUCUCGGAAGUCUCUUUGUGGGGGUGUUCAAACACUCACACAAAAAGCUUUGAAACCCAUGUGAGGUUUUUUGUGAGCAGAGCGUCUAAGAGAACUUAUGUGGAGGAAUCGAUGUAACUAUUGCUCCAGAGUUGUCAGAGAAUUCAUCAGACAGUUCCCCCUCUGUUGGUGAUAACUGUUCGAAGCACGGGAUCCAUCACUUCUAACUGAGACGCAGGCUUGUGACGUGAAGCAACGAGCACCAGCCCUUGCGCACUUCAGUGCACCCGUCCGCAGGGCAGAGAGAAGAGAGAUUUCUCACCCAGGGGUAUUUAAAUCAGCAUCAGAGAACUCUGUCCUUCCUCACUGAAAGGAACAAGACGCCAUAUUUAAUUGAAUAAGGCAGUCUGGUUUUUUUUUUUUUUUUGAAUAAGGCAGUCUUUCAACAGUUACAAGAGAAGUGAGCGACUAAAACUCGAGAAGCGUUUUUCCUUGAAACCAUUAACUAGUUUUAUUUUUAUAGACGCAAUGCCAACUAGCCAGACUGAAUUAUAUGAUCAUCUCCGACGCUGAACUCCUGGCCGUGCCAUCUGUACCAGGAAGAGCCUUGACCGACACUUUCAUAGACACUAGUUACAGUAUUUUUAGUAAUUUUUUAGUAAGAUGGUAAGCUACAUCUCAGGAAUCUUCUCAUUCACUUUUCCUUUGGCAUUUUAGUUUUAAGUCUCUUUUCAAAUAUCUUCAGAUUCUUUUCCCUCCUGUGAAAUACAAAAAUGAUGUCAGGUGGGAGGAAAUACACAGAAUGAACAAUAAAAUGUCUCUUGCCUGAAAUCUUUGCCCUAAAAAUAGGAGCUGAUGCUGUAGGAGAACAACGAAGGCUAGCCCCUCAGUCAGGGCCCUUGGAGUCCUAUGAUUGCAACAACAGCAUCAGGUGACGCCUCCAAGUAGUUUGUUAAUGAUCUAUUUCUAAAAGGCAAAUGGCUAAAAGACUUGUGUCCAUGCAAAGAAACGCCAAGCACACGAACACCAGUAGCUCCUCCAUCUCUGGGUUCCCUGACUGGGCCCUCUUUCCCGAAGCUUCCCGCCCUCCCUUCAGGGUCCCGCUCAGUGAGCUUAUCCUGGACCGGGCUCUCCCUCUUCUCCCAUCAUAAAGGUGGUUGGUCCAAAGGUGAACGCCCAAGUCAAGCUAAACCAAUCGGAGACCUCUGCCUGGGAAUUUAGACCUGAGGCAAAGUCCUUUCUCUUUUAAGAGGAACUACAUAUAAUACGUGAGAUUGUAAGGUGUAGACGACCAUGUGCCACGAGGAUUGAAGAGCAGAAAAAGCUGGAUCCAGACAGAAGAAUGAAGUAGAUAGCAGAGAGAAGCAGAGAAAAGUGUGAGAGAGACAGGAGUGGAGACUUCCUUGGGUUCCAUGGGGUGUCCUUGGAACUGCUCCUCCCGCCUAAGUGAACAUAACUUUUUAUUUGCAGCCAAGAGGAGUCUUAACUCCUCUUCCUCCUACUCCUCAAGAAUGUCUGAUACAGAAAAUGUGAAUUUCCCAGGGCCAGCCCCAUGGCCGAGUGGUUUAGUUCACACACUUUGCUUUGGCAGCCUGGGGUUCACCAGUUUGGAUCCUGGAUGUGGACCAAUGCACUGCUCAUCAAGCCAUGCUGUGGUGGCAUCCCAUGUAGAAGAACUAGAAGGACCUAAAACUAGGAUAUACA
Molecule: long non-coding RNA, 4288 nt
Filed under: Equus caballus (horse)
Lineage: Eukaryota; Metazoa; Chordata; Mammalia; Perissodactyla; Equidae
Description: lncRNA (ENSECAG00000045028.1)
Source: RNAcentral